This is a long non-coding RNA of Salvia miltiorrhiza (redroot sage), 418 nucleotides long. RefSeq lists it as uncharacterized. NCBI's taxonomy places the organism in Eukaryota, Viridiplantae, Streptophyta, Magnoliopsida, Lamiales, Lamiaceae. The record is from RefSeq and is a predicted model, not a curated record. The transcript is spliced from 3 exons.
CCAAGCAAUUCCAUUCACUUCUUCACACGCCAACAACAAGAGAGAGAUCAUUCAAGCUUCUGCUUAAACUUAAGCAAAUCCCCACUGAACUAAAGAAAAAUACAUCAGCCAAUCAAGCACAAAAUACACAAGGUCAAGCACGAGAUUAAUAAUCAGUCAAGGAGCUACUGUACCACAGAAAGUUUCAAUCAGGUUGAGCUGAUGUGAUGAUGGUGCUGAAAUGAGCGGAGUCUCCAGGGUUGUUAAUAAAUAGUUAACUUGUCUAGAAUAUGUCUUCAUACAUAUGUCUAGCUACUUUCCGCUGCAAGAUGUUGUUGAUGUUAUAGUAUGUUAUGUCAUACUUUGAGUCUUAAGAGAAUGGUUUCAUAUGAUGUAUAACUUGAUUAAUGAUAUUAAUUAAGUUUUAUGCUGUCUUUCA